GACUACUGGGGUAUCUAAUCCUGUUUGCUACCCACGCUUUCGCGUCUCAGCGUCAAUAUCGGUCCAGGUAGCCGCCUUCGCCACCGGUGUUCCUCCUGAUAUCUACGGAUUUCACUCCUACACCAGGAAUUCCACUACCCUCUCCCGUAUUCAAGUCUGCCAGUUUCCAAUGCACUUCCUGGGUUGAGCCCAGGGCUUUCACAUCAGACUUAACAAACCGCCUACACGCGCUUUACGCCCAAUAAUUCCGAACAACGCUUGCACCCCCCGUAUUACCGCGGCUGCUGGCACGGAGUUAGCCGGUGCUUCCUUUAGGGGUACCGUCAAGUAUCAUGGAUAUUAGCCACGUUACAUUUCUUCCCCCUUGACAGAGCUUUACGACCCGAAGGCCUUCAUCACUCACGCGGCGUUGCUGCGUCAGGCUUUCGCCCAUUGCGCAAAAUUCCCCACUGCAGCCCCCCGUAGG
RNAcentral lists this ribosomal RNA (466 nucleotides) under uncultured Geobacter sp. RNAcentral describes it as "partial 16S ribosomal RNA". The record is from RNAcentral. Lineage: Bacteria; Pseudomonadati; Thermodesulfobacteriota; Desulfuromonadia; Geobacterales; Geobacteraceae.